Molecule: small nuclear RNA, 107 nt
Filed under: Betta splendens (Siamese fighting fish)
Lineage: Eukaryota; Metazoa; Chordata; Actinopteri; Anabantiformes; Osphronemidae
Source: RNAcentral
GUGCUUGCUCAGGCAGCACAUAUGAUGAAUGGGAAUCGAUACAGAGAAGUUUAGCAUGGCCCCUGAGAAAGUAUGACACGCAAAUUUGUGAAGCGUUUCUACAUUUU